Cavia aperea (Brazilian guinea pig) is the source of this 136-nucleotide small nucleolar RNA. The record is from Ensembl. NCBI's taxonomy places the organism in Eukaryota, Metazoa, Chordata, Mammalia, Rodentia, Caviidae.
CUAGCCCUGAAUCAAGGCCGGCAGCUUCCUGAUGAUGUUGGUUUCAAGCAGGAGCCUAAAUAGAUGUCUUUAUAUGGUCUGUUGGCCAUUUCAGAACUUGGCAAUGAAAUGGUCAAUUCAUUAGAAAGAAACAGCU